GACGGGAUGGUUGUGAGCGGGACAGAAACUCCACCACAAGGGUUCUGGGGGUACUACAGGGACUAAAGGAAGCAGUGUGAUCAGUGUGAAAGCAGCAAGGCCAUGAUUUAUUUCUUGGGCGUGUAGUUUUCUCCCGAGGCCUCUGCUUGGUUAUUUUACCCAGCAUCGGUGCCAAAGGAGAUUUCCCCAAAGGGAAAAGUACUGCAGUGCUCGACGCAUUACAGUCCUUUCCCGUUUGCAAGCUCUCCCACACAUUCCUUCUUCUGUUCCCAAAUCACAGGAGACGACGAGAAAGAGAACAGACCACCUGUCCAGAUAAUUUGCCUUUGGAGUCUGCAGGGCUGGUGAAGGCAUCCUGAGAUGGGGGAGGCCCCUGGGGACCUCCACAGUCAGGGCUCCCACCUCCUCUCCCACACCGCUCUGCCUCAUGCCCUGGGUUGCCUGUCUGACUGUCUCAAGACUGGGGGUUCUCCGGUGAGCAGAUGGCUGCUUAGCGUCUGAGGGGCAGACACCAUGCCGUGGUGACAGCGUGAUCCCUUGAUGGAAAGGCCACCAGAACCACUGGUAGUGCAGCUGGACACUGCGGAGCCCUGGGACCACACCCGCUGCCUCCCUCCAGACUCCUUAGGUCUAUGCCGUGUGCCUGGCUUUUUCCAACCACUCCGAAUUGAUCAUUUCCUAAUGACCACAUGGCUCAGAAACUCACAGCACAUCCUUCUAGGGGCCUCUUUCUCCCAAGUCCUCCCAGGGACUUGGCAGCUUCAUCUCUAAGGCCUGCAGAGGCUGUGGCUAUGGCUGUCCAUUGUUCUCGCUCCUUGGCUUCAGUUCAGAGCCAUCAAAUCCCUGCAGCUCGCACACUGGAACAUUCAUAUUUUGGAUAAGUCAACAAAACAGCUUCUAGAAAAUGGAAAACCCAGAGUGUGAUCUACCAGGAGCUCCUGGUUUCAACCAGUUCCUUGCUGUACCUGCUGGGCCUGUGAUACGAAGAAACAUCAUGGCUUCAAUGGCAGCCUUGGAAAUGAACUUCAUUGAAAGGGAAUUUACACUGAGGUUUAUGAUUGCUGCUAUGAAAAGAGUGCACAUCCUUUCCUUCGAAACACAAGACUAGAAAAAAAAAACUCUAAAAUUCAUACGG
This 1135-nucleotide long non-coding RNA is filed under the name Homo sapiens (human). RNAcentral describes it as "HSALNT0402232". Lineage: Eukaryota; Metazoa; Chordata; Mammalia; Primates; Hominidae. The record is from RNAcentral.